GGAAAUAAAGCAUUUUAUUGAUGCAUAUCUUUUACGAUGAUAAUAAGCUACUAGAUAGCUGUUUCCU
Molecule: transfer RNA, 67 nt
Filed under: Petaloconchus varians
Lineage: Eukaryota; Metazoa; Mollusca; Gastropoda; Littorinimorpha; Vermetidae
Description: tRNA-Val
Source: RNAcentral